Molecule: ribosomal RNA, 1109 nt
Filed under: Enterococcus faecalis
Lineage: Bacteria; Bacillati; Bacillota; Bacilli; Lactobacillales; Enterococcaceae
Description: bacterial SSU rRNA
Rfam family: Bacterial small subunit ribosomal RNA
Source: RNAcentral
CAGUCGUACGCUUCUUUUUCACCGGAGCUUGCUCCACCGGAAAAAGAAGAGUGGCGAACGGGUGAGUAACACGUGGGUAACCUGCCCAUCAGAAGGGGAUAACACUUGGAAACAGGUGCUAAUACCGUAUAACAAUCGAAACCGCAUGGUUUUGAUUUGAAAGGCGCUUUCGGGUGUCGCUGAUGGAUGGACCCGCGGUGCAUUAGCUAGUUGGUGAGGUAACGGCUCACCAAGGCCACGAUGCAUAGCCGACCUGAGAGGGUGAUCGGCCACAUUGGGACUGAGACACGGCCCAAACUCCUACGGGAGGCAGCAGUAGGGAAUCUUCGGCAAUGGACGAAAGUCUGACCGAGCAACGCCGCGUGAGUGAAGAAGGUUUUCGGAUCGUAAAACUCUGUUGUUAGAGAAGAACAAGGAUGAGAGUAACUGUUCAUCCCUUGACGGUAUCUAACCAGAAAGCCACGGCUAACUACGUGCCAGCAGCCGCGGUAAUACGUAGGUGGCAAGCGUUGUCCGGAUUUAUUGGGCGUAAAGCGAGCGCAGGCGGUUUCUUAAGUCUGAUGUGAAAGCCCCCGGCUCAACCGGGGAGGGUCAUUGGAAACUGGGAGACUUGAGUGCAGAAGAGGAGAGUGGAAUUCCAUGUGUAGCGGUGAAAUGCGUAGAUAUAUGGAGGAACACCAGUGGCGAAGGCGGCUCUCUGGUCUGUAACUGACGCUGAGGCUCGAAAGCGUGGGGAGCAAACAGGAUUAGAUACCCUGGUAGUCCACGCCGUAAACGAUGAGUGCUAAGUGUUGGAGGGUUUCCGCCCUUCAGUGCUGCAGCUAACGCAUUAAGCACUCCGCCUGGGGAGUACGACCGCAAGGUUGAAACUCAAAGGAAUUGACGGGGGCCCGCACAAGCGGUGGAGCAUGUGGUUUAAUUCGAAGCAACGCGAAGAACCUUACCAGGUCUUGACAUCCUUUGACCACUCUAGAGAUAGAGCUUCCCCUUCGGGGGCAAAGUGACAGGUGGUGCAUGGUUGUCGUCAGCUCGUGUCGUGAGAUGUUGGGUUAAGUCCCGCAACGAGCGCAACCCUUAUUGUUAGUUGCCAUCAUUCAGUUGGGCACUCU